AUGAAUGAUGCAGAAAUAGAUUUGGUGCUUGCUAAAAAUAAAGCAGACGUACUUGAAGCACGCAAUUACGUCCAUGGCCAGCCAUUUCUUGUUGACGAAUACUUCGGUGAGUGCAGCUCCAGUUGCCUCGAGUUACAUGAAUAUUGCAUGGAUCAAAUGUCAGCAGGUCAUCAUGUUCUGCUAGUCCACUACAACAGAGAUCAUUUCCGACACAUUGUUGGUUCCAUCAAUGUGAGUUUCGAGGACUUACAUCUCUUCUUCAACUUCAACGAGCUUGAUACCACUCUUGUUAGAUGCCUGAUUUUGGGAUUGAACGCGCAGAGAAGAAAAAGGGAGAGUGUGUAUUUCAUAGAUCCUGCAUUAGCAAAUGGCAUGACAUUAGAUGGUAAGGACCUAUGGGACUGGGCCAUUAACACGGUCGUCUAUAUAUUCGAAAACACGUCCCAUGCAGAAUCAUUUCUCUGGGCAUAUCAUGAAUGUGUGCUCGCAUUGUGGAAAACUAAACCAGGGAACCUAUUCAAGAGGGAACUACCUCUGUAG
RNAcentral lists this ribosomal RNA (540 nucleotides) under Triticum aestivum (bread wheat). RNAcentral's name for it is "partial small subunit ribosomal RNA". The record is from RNAcentral. Lineage: Eukaryota; Viridiplantae; Streptophyta; Magnoliopsida; Poales; Poaceae.